This 271-nucleotide unclassified non-coding RNA is filed under the name Hevea brasiliensis (rubber tree). Lineage: Eukaryota; Viridiplantae; Streptophyta; Magnoliopsida; Malpighiales; Euphorbiaceae. The record is from RNAcentral.
GCGAGGGCAAAAGAGUCAGCCAAGGACAUCAUCAAUGUAAAGGGGCAGAUAGAGAAGAAGGCUUGGCCAUUUGUCCGUGAUGACCUUCGUCUUAAGGCAGAGUACCUUCGUUAUGAUCUCAAGACAAUCAUUUCUGCCAAGCCUAAGGAAGAGAAGCAGGCCCUUAAGGACCUCACAGGAAAGCUCUUCCAAGACAUCAACAACUUGGAUUAUGCAGCAAAGAUUAAGAGCAGCUCAGAAGCAGAGAAGUAUUAUGCUCAGACUGUGUCAA